Molecule: RNase P RNA, 325 nt
Filed under: Euroglyphus maynei
Lineage: Eukaryota; Metazoa; Arthropoda; Arachnida; Sarcoptiformes; Pyroglyphidae
Description: Nuclear RNase P
Rfam family: Nuclear RNase P
About the family: Ribonuclease P (RNase P) is a ubiquitous endoribonuclease, found in archaea, bacteria and eukarya as well as chloroplasts and mitochondria. Its best characterised activity is the generation of mature 5'-ends of tRNAs by cleaving the 5'-leader elements of precursor-tRNAs. Cellular RNase Ps are ribonucleoproteins.
Source: Rfam by way of RNAcentral
ACAACUUGUAGUCCGCACUAGAGAUUAAUCCAUGGAUUAACCUUUAGGAAGGUCUGAGAAUGCCGAACAGUGUGAAAACACUGUUUCAGAAUCUUAGCGAUUCACUUCGUAAUCCGAAGUGCAAGUCGAGAGCAACGAUUUUGAAAUGAAUACAUUAGUUUUACGCAAGAGAUGGUUUUUCAUCUGAAAAGAAUGAGAUUACCUGAUGCUUUAUGACUGAUGUGUUCAGUGAAAUGAUUUGCGGCUAGCCAAUGUAUAACAGUACGAUGUGCGGAAUGGCAAAUAUGUAUUUGCCAUAACUGAAUUCAGACUACUCACGGGUUGU